CAAGAUUUGCUAUUUCUUAUGCAAUAAUUGGAUUUGUUAGCCAAUUCAUGUAAGACUCUCACAUUAAUCAUUGGAAUGUUGUAAUUUGCAUUCUAAUAUUCCAAAAAUUUUCUAGGACGAGGAUUAUUGUAUGAGGACAAAGGAAAUACUCAAAUUAUAUGCUAUUGUGAUGCAAAUUGGGUCAGCUGUUAUAUUUUCACGAGAUCUAUCACAUGAUAUGAUGUAUUCAUUGGAGGAAAUAUUGUCUCCCGGAAGAGCAAGAAACAUAAUAUUUUUUCCCAACCCAAUGCAAAAGUUGAGUAUAGAGCUAUGACUUUGGCCACUUGUGAAUUUGUAUGGAUUAAUCAACUCCUUUUAAGAGUUGAAAUUUUGUGAAGUUGAGCAAAUGAAGUUGUAUUGUGAUAAUCAAGUAGUCUUCCAUAUUGCUUCCAAUCUUUUGUUUCAUGAUGGGACAUUAUAUACUGAGAUUGAUUGUCAUUUUACUAGAGAGAAGAUAUUGUCCAAAGAACUCCGUAAUGGAUUUAUCAACUCUAAUGAUCAGCUUGCAGAUAUUCUCACCCCUUGAGAGAAUCUAGAAUUUAGUUUAUAUGUUCCAAGCUGGCUCAUACAAUUUAUUUGCUAGAGGGAGUAUUAAAAUUAUUAUUUUUAUUGUAUUGUACAACUUGUGCUUGUAAUGUAUUCUUCCCUUUUUCAUACACACAUACGUGUGUGUGUGUAUACAGCUGAGAAAUAAUUCGCCAAUUUUUUAUUACAUUCAAAUUCAAGUGAGGCUAUGAUGCUAAUUCUCAAGGCACAUUUAUGCUAGUAACCACUGUAGUUAAAUCCGUAAUCUAGUUAUCUGGUUCAGUAUAUAUAUUUACGUCCAACUUUCACUUUAUAUACUACAUGCUGGAGAAAUUUUGGUGGAAAAGUAAAUUAAUUAAAGAAAAAUACUUUUUUAUAUUUUGGUGCUUAAAUUUUGUGAAAUAAAUGUGUGUGCAGGGGUUCAUGACUCGUUUUGGACACAUGCAUGUGACGUGGAGAAAAUGAGUCACAUUCUUAGAGAAAAGUUUGUGGAGCUUUAUAACAUGCCAAUACUUGAAAAUUUGUUGGAAGGUUUUGAGACAUCAUACCCGGGAUUAGCCUUCCCUCCUGUGCCAAAGAGAGGUGAUUUUGACUUGGGGAAGGUUCUCGAGUCUCCAUACUUCUUCAACUGAACGUUCCUUCAAAGGAAGCUAUUACAAGAUUCCAUGGAAGUGUUGUUACCUUCACUUUUGAGGCAAAAUAGUUCAGAAUCUUCUGCUUCUGAGACAACACUUCAUCCGGUCGGAAGUUGUGAUUCAAAGAAAGACCCCAAGUUGCUUUUGGGAAAGGCCUGGAAAGAAAUCUCCUGUUACUAGAAUGCUCAAAACAAUACUUAUUUGGCUGGUUUAAGAAGAGAGAAGCGUUCAUUAUUUCUUACAUAUCUAAUAUUGGCGAUUUCCUCGACUCAAACUUAUAUGUAGAAAGGCUUAAGCACAAUGCGGAGCUGAAGACCUUAACUGAUUUUGAUGAUGUAAACCAUUUUUUCUUUCUUAUAAUGUAUGAAUAUCUGUAUUACAUCUAAGAUUGAAAGAUAGAUCGUUAGGCAUAGAAUAAAUUAUUUUUGUGACUUGUACAUAGAGUUAUUCAUUUCAUUAACUUAAAUUAUAUAUUAAAAUUAUAUCAA
Molecule: non-coding RNA, 1687 nt
Organism: Vigna umbellata (rice bean)
Lineage: Eukaryota; Viridiplantae; Streptophyta; Magnoliopsida; Fabales; Fabaceae
Source: RefSeq, a predicted model, not a curated record